AUCCAGCUGACGAGUCCCGAAUAGGAUGAAACUUGUGGCCUGUAU
This is a non-coding RNA of Schistosoma rodhaini, 45 nucleotides long. The record is from Rfam. NCBI's taxonomy places the organism in Eukaryota, Metazoa, Platyhelminthes, Trematoda, Strigeidida, Schistosomatidae.